Molecule: long non-coding RNA, 2238 nt
Filed under: Mus musculus (house mouse)
Lineage: Eukaryota; Metazoa; Chordata; Mammalia; Rodentia; Muridae
Description: long non-coding RNA chr13:109645655-109647893
Source: RNAcentral
UCUAAGCAGACGCCUACCCCCUAUAUUCACUGACUGUGGCCCCUUGACACAGUACACUUUAACCUCCAUGGGAAACUUAAUCAGAGACUGUCGUGAGUGAUGUGACCAACAGCCAAUCAAAACCUCAGAAAACAGAAUAAACAGAAAGUCAGGAUGUGGUCAUGCAGGCUGUACGUUGACUUUAGGAAGACUCUCCCAUUCUUCCUUUUAAAUCAUUUAACAUACAUGAUUGGAUAUCUAGAACAGGAGCCGUGGGAACUACAUACUGGGGGGAGCUUGGUCCUGUUUAUCAUUUUGCUCUCCCUGGUUUAGAGUGACGGCUACAGAACUGAUCCUAUCCAUUCACAGUGAGCUAGACAGAAAGUUCUUAACUAUGGGGCCACCGAAAAUCUUUCCAGCCUGCUGUUCUGCAUGUUGCAUCGAGACAGCAUAUGGUUUUGAUACGCAAAUCCAAUCUGAGAGUUCAUUCAUGUACUGCUCUGUAAUUGACCAUGCAAAUUGCAAUUUCCUACUUUUAAUAUAAACUUUCCUCAUUGCAUAAAUGAAGUACCUGCACGCAUUCCCUUGGCUCCGCUCAUCUGAUCAUCAUAAUAGUCAGAUUUUAGUGGGAGAGCUGCAGCUAGCUGAAGCAGAUGUCCGCACUGUGACAAGGUAUUUAAUUUCUCAGGUCCUUCGUCUUUUUAUUGGAGAUUCAAAUAUUCCCUUCUUCCCUGAAACAGCAUCAUAGAAAAAUGAGACAAUUUGAUGUGUGCCUAAAUAUUUCACCACAAAUCAAGCACAUAUUCAUGAAGUCAAUAAUGCCCAGGGAAGAACAAAGGGUAGUUCGAUGUUAAUGUCUCUCUGAACUUGUAUAUGAUUCAAGUAUCCACGCAAGUAUAUAUUGAGUUUGUAUAAGUUGUUACACAGCUCAUGCUGUACACUAUGAUUUGUGUUAUUUAAAUCAGGCGUUAAAAAUUUUUCAUGAGUGGCUAUGAUACUAACACCAUUUAUUUUGAACACCAAAGCAUUUGUUUGUUUGUCUGUUUAACGUGUGUGUGUUUUGCCUAAGCAUGUAUAUACGUGUACCAAAUGUGUGCCUGGCACUGGAAGAGGCCAGAGGAAGCAUCUUAUUCCCUGGAACUAGAAUUACAAACAGCUGUGAGCCACCGCAUUCGUGCAGGGAAACAAACCUGGGGUCUCUGUAACAACAGCAAGUGCUCUUGACUGCUGAGCCUCAUCCCCAGCCCCACUGGCAUUAUUCUUUUUAAUGAAUUCUAGGGAGCAUAGGCAAGAGAAGCAGGGUUGUGUGGUCUGGCUUUCCUGUAAGAGCUCACAGUGAGAGCCACGGAAGCAGAGAAUAAGUGGUGAUAUCUAAGAUCCAGGAAAUGCUGGUCAGACAGACUUCCAGUUACGUAAGAGGAAUCAGUUUGUAAGAUCUGCUCUGUUAUAACGUGUGCUGUCUAUAGUGAGUAAUAAAUAUACUGCGUCCUGGGAAAUCACUGAGUAUAUUUAAGAGUUCCAUCCACAGAAUAAAUGUGAGUUGAUGCACGCGUUAGCCACAUUGCUUUAGACACUCCACAAUAGAUAUAUGUGUUAAAACAUUACAUUGUAUCCUAUGUACACAUACAUGAAUAUAUUUGUCAAAUACUUUAAAUGAAUUUUAAAAUAGAGGUGAGUGCAAAAAUGAAGUCUAGGUCUUUCCUUAUAUCAUAUUUUUUUUAGGAUUCUAAGAAAGAUAAGUGUGAGAUUAAGUUAGAUACUUACUUGCCUCACAGAUUCACCUGGUUCAUACACCUCCUUUUCAUCAUUUAAACUGUAGCAUAACAAAAUAUUUAGAAAGCUUUGCUCAUUCUAAAGCUUCAAUUUAUAUGCGGGGGGGGGGAUGUCCUAAUAAAAAUUACACAAAGAAACUUUGUCCAGAUUUGGUUAUUGAUAGUUAACUGGAGAAAAGGGUUUCUCAUCUCAUAGAAGCUACUAGACCACAAAAUAUCAACAUCACAGCAGAGUGAAUGUCCUGGAGGAAUGGGCAGAUAAGAGGAACCCCCAUACCUCAGACUCUGGUAUUUGUCAGAGAUAAGCAAUAAGGCUAGGCUUUCAGUUGGUUGCGCCCUAGAAGAAAAUAAAAGGAAAGGCCAGUCUGUGUGUAAAUCUAUACCCUUACUAAUUCCCCCACUUCUAAGAUCUCCAGAGAUCUUUGAAGCUGUAAGAAAUACAAGAAUUGUAAAUGACUAAUUCCAAUUAGCUAGCAAACUGUUAACC